This is a non-coding RNA of Proteus mirabilis, 142 nucleotides long. The record is from Rfam. Lineage: Bacteria; Pseudomonadati; Pseudomonadota; Gammaproteobacteria; Enterobacterales; Morganellaceae.
UCAAUUAGCAAUCGUAUCUUACGGUAAAGAAAAACCUGCUGUACUGGGUCAUGACGAAGCCGCUUAUGCGAAAAACCGUCGUGCAGUACUGGUUUACUAAGAGAACGGCAUGAACAACAGUAACUUCAGACCUUUAUUGAUG